AUGGCACUUUGUCGUGCCCACCGCCAUACCAUCCGGGGCAUCAUGCAUGGGUGGCUCAGGAUCAGGCCAUUCUCUCUACCAUCCAGUCCUCUUUUACGGAGUGGAUCUCGUCACUGGUCAUCUUCGCUGCUACGUCUCGGGACACGUGGACGGCUCUUCAUACCAGUUUUGCUUCGAGUCUUAGGCGCGGGCUCACGCCAUCUGCAUUGCGCUUGGGGAGGUGAAGCUUCAUGA
RNAcentral lists this ribosomal RNA (234 nucleotides) under Triticum aestivum (bread wheat). RNAcentral describes it as "partial small subunit ribosomal RNA". Lineage: Eukaryota; Viridiplantae; Streptophyta; Magnoliopsida; Poales; Poaceae. The record is from RNAcentral.